This 510-nucleotide ribosomal RNA is filed under the name uncultured bacterium. RNAcentral's name for it is "partial 16S ribosomal RNA". It matches the Rfam family "Bacterial small subunit ribosomal RNA", at positions 28 to 507 of the family's 1533-position model. The record is from RNAcentral.
GACGAACGCUGGCGGCGUGCUUAACACAUGCAAGUCGAACGAAGAGCGAUGGAAGCUUGCUUCUCUCAAUCUUAGUGGCGAACGGGUGAGUAACGCGUAAUCAACCUGCCCUUCAGAGGGGGACAACAGUUGGAAACGACUGCUAAUACCGCAUACGAUCUGACCUCGGCAUCGAGGAUAGAUGAAAGGUGGCCUCUACAUGUAAGCUAUCACUGAAGGAGGGGAUUGCGUCUGAUGAGCUAGUUGGAGGGGUAACGGCCCACCAAGGCGAUGAUCAGUAGCCGGUCUGAGAGGAUGAACGGCCACAUUGGGACUGAGACACGGCCCAGACUCCUACGGGAGGCAGCAGUGGGGAAUCUUCCGCAAUAGACGAAAGUCUGACGGAGCAACGCCGCGUGAGUGAUGACGGCCUUCGGGUUGUAAAGCUCUGUUAAUCGGGACGAAAGGCCUUUUUGCGAAUAGUGAGAAGGAUUGACGGUACCGGAAUAGAAAGCCACGGCUAACUACGUG